AUACGUAGGUGACAAGCGUUAUCCGGAUUUACUGGGCGUAAAGGGCGUGUAGGCGGUCUUGCAAGUCAGAAGUGAAAUUCCUGAGCUCAACUCGGGCGCUGCUUCUGAAACUGCGGGACUUGAGUGCUGGAGGGGAUAGCGGAAUUCCUAGUGGAGCGGUAAAAUGCGCAGAUAUUAGGAAGAACACCGGUGGCGAAGGCGGCUAUCUGGACAGUAACGGACGCUGAGGCGCGAAAGCGUGGGGAGCAAACAGGAUUAGAUACCCUGGUAGUCCACGCUGUAAACGAUGAAUACUAGGUGUAGGGGGUAUCGACUCCCUCUGUGCCGCAGUUAACACAAUAAGUAUUCCGCCUGGGGAGUACGGCCGCAAGGUUGAAACUCAAAUGAAUUGACGGGG
Molecule: ribosomal RNA, 397 nt
Filed under: uncultured bacterium
Lineage: Bacteria
Description: partial 16S ribosomal RNA
Rfam family: Bacterial small subunit ribosomal RNA
Source: RNAcentral